Molecule: unclassified non-coding RNA, 1457 nt
Filed under: Hevea brasiliensis (rubber tree)
Lineage: Eukaryota; Viridiplantae; Streptophyta; Magnoliopsida; Malpighiales; Euphorbiaceae
Source: RNAcentral
GUAGCCCAAUCCAAGUACAACAAGAUGAUACCUACAUAUCAUUUAACAAAUUAAGAUAAGACUUACUACAGUAAGUUCAUACACACAUUAAAGAAGAGAAGGGAUUGUUUGCAUAUUCAUCAACAUCAGGAUUCAUUAACUUCCAUUCGCCUCAGUCUUGACUCUUGAAGCCAUGUGCUCUGACUUCUACAAGAAAAAACAAAAUAAUCAACUGGAUGACUUUCUAAUCAACCAUAUGAAAACAUAGGCCCAAUUUAGUUUAUAGAAAGAACUGUAGCAGAAUUCCAGAAAACACUACAUAUAGCAUGUGCAUAUACAGUUGAAAAUUUGUUCAAUAUCUUGACUGUUUAAGGAAAGUAUCCAUUUCUUUUCCUACUAGCUAGCUGUUCUUUCUUUUUUUAUAUAUAGUGAGGGGAUGAUAGAAUGCUGUUGCAGGACAAUAUCAAAAAUUUAACUCUCACCCUAUUCAAUGCAUAUGAAAAUAUGCUGAAAACUGCAAAACAUAUAUAUUUCUUUUAUCUACUUUUCACAAAAAGCAGGACAACCUAUCAUCAACCAUAUAAGCCAUACUUCCUUCUGAGCAGUUAUUCAGUACUCCCAGUGUACAACAAAAUAGCACACCAUGCACUCAUAUACAUGUGGAACCACUAGACAAUUGUGGAAGGUGAAUCCCACAUUCAUAUGACAGAGGAUUCAUUAUUUUCUGAUACACCUGGAAUAAUGAAUAACAUUCCCUACCAGGAAAUGUUCAGUCACAGAACUGCUUUAAUUAUAAAAGCAUAAUGCAAGUAGUGCUGGAAACAGAUACUUCUCACAAAGAUCAGUUUGACCUUUGGUUGCUGAACACAAGAUUUGCAUGCUGCUACUAUAAUUCAGUGUUAUUUUGUCAACAAAAUUGAGUCCAGAUACAUGAAUCUAUGUUUCCUUUGUAGUCAUACAGUAUUAAAGUCAACAAACCUGCUCAGUAUAUGGCAAAUACUUCCCAUCAAAUGUCAAAACAACACGAUCUUUUCCAUCCACACCUUUCACUUUAUCAACAGAGCAGUAGAAAUCUAUGGCCGACAUGAUGCCAUCACCAAACUCCUCAUUGAUAAUUUCCUUUAUGCUUUCACCAAAAUGCAUAACUGCUUCAUUCAACCUGUAAACAGUUGGUUCUUGGAUCAAGUUAGGGUCGUAGGACCUCAGGGGUGGUUUAGUCAUCUCCUGAAGCAGAUCAUCAGUGAGUUCAGGCAGUGCAGCUCGUAGGUUUGGGGCGGUAUCGGGCUUGAGUUGGGCCUGGCGUCUCAAUAACUGAGCAACGUAGACGUUGGUGAGGCCAGUCUCCUCCGCAAUCUGAGUGUAGGUCUUGCAGGAUCUCCGUUUCACAGCCAGUAGGCGGCUGCAUAUGUUGGCUUUGGUCUGUCCCAUUUCAGAAGGAGUCAACACGGUCGACAUUUUUCUGUUUCCGUCCAUACCCU